RNAcentral lists this ribosomal RNA (403 nucleotides) under uncultured bacterium. RNAcentral describes it as "partial 16S ribosomal RNA". It matches the Rfam family "Bacterial small subunit ribosomal RNA", at positions 30 to 526 of the family's 1533-position model. The record is from RNAcentral.
AUUGAACGCUGGCGGCAGGCCUAACACAUGCAAGUCGAGCGAGCGGCGGACGGGUGAGUAAUGUAUGGGGACUGCCCUAUAGAGGGGGAUAACUACUGGAAACGGUGGCUAAUACCGCAUACUAUCGGAUAACCCAUAUGGGAUUAGCUAGUAGGUGGGGUAAAGGCUCACCUAGGCGACGAUCUCUAGCUUGUCUGAGAGGAUGAUCAGCCAACCGGGGACGUAGACACGGCCCAGACUCCGACGGAGGCAGCAGUGGGGAAUAUUGCACAAGGGGCGCAAGCCUGAUGCAGCCAUGCGGCGUGUAUGAAGAAGGCCUUCGGGUUGUAAAGUACGUGCAGUCGGGAGGCGUUACCGACAGAAGAAGCACCGGCUAACUCCGUGCCAGCAGCCGCGGUAAUUC